GCUCCCGUAGUGUAGUCCGGCCAAUCAUUUCAGCCUCUCGAGCUGAGGACCAGGGUUCAAAUCCCUGCGGGAGCA
This 75-nucleotide transfer RNA is filed under the name Thermoplasmata archaeon. Its description in RNAcentral is "tRNA-Glu". It matches the Rfam family "tRNA". From Rfam's summary of the family: Transfer RNA (tRNA) molecules are approximately 80 nucleotides in length. Their secondary structure includes four short double-helical elements and three loops (D, anti-codon, and T loops). Further hydrogen bonds mediate the characteristic L-shaped molecular structure. tRNAs have two regions of fundamental functional importance: the anti-codon, which is responsible for specific mRNA codon recognition, and the 3' end, to which the tRNAs corresponding amino acid is attached (by aminoacyl-tRNA synthetases). tRNAs cope with the degeneracy of the genetic code in two manners: having more than one tRNA (with a specific anti-codon) for a particular amino acid; and 'wobble' base-pairing, i.e. permitting non-standard base-pairing at the 3rd anti-codon position. RNAcentral also lists the same sequence under 1 other name. Lineage: Archaea; Methanobacteriati; Thermoplasmatota; Thermoplasmata. The record is from RNAcentral.